AGCCAAGCGCGGAGGGGUUCCACAGCUGCCACCAUUAGUCGGCCAGCCGGAAUGGACUGCCACAUGCGGCUGGUGGCUGGACGACCCAAUCAACGACUUCUGCUACCUGAUGUUCCGCCAGCCCACCAAGACUUGGAAGGAGGCGCAAGCCAACUGCCAACGCCUCCAAGGGAACCUGCUCAGCAUCACCGACCGCGAGCAGCAGGCCUUUGUGCAGGGUUACGUCGGGUCUCUGCCCUCUCUGUGGUUGGGCGCCGAUGUCUCCACCACGGAAGAUGACGCCCAAUGGACUGACAGAUCCCCGUUCACUUACAUCCACU
Syngnathus typhle (broad-nosed pipefish) is the source of this 320-nucleotide long non-coding RNA. RefSeq lists it as uncharacterized. NCBI's taxonomy places the organism in Eukaryota, Metazoa, Chordata, Actinopteri, Syngnathiformes, Syngnathidae. The transcript has 3 exons. The record is from RefSeq and is a predicted model, not a curated record.